RNAcentral lists this transfer RNA (73 nucleotides) under archaeon. RNAcentral describes it as "tRNA-Asn". It matches the Rfam family "tRNA". From Rfam's summary of the family: Transfer RNA (tRNA) molecules are approximately 80 nucleotides in length. Their secondary structure includes four short double-helical elements and three loops (D, anti-codon, and T loops). Further hydrogen bonds mediate the characteristic L-shaped molecular structure. tRNAs have two regions of fundamental functional importance: the anti-codon, which is responsible for specific mRNA codon recognition, and the 3' end, to which the tRNAs corresponding amino acid is attached (by aminoacyl-tRNA synthetases). tRNAs cope with the degeneracy of the genetic code in two manners: having more than one tRNA (with a specific anti-codon) for a particular amino acid; and 'wobble' base-pairing, i.e. permitting non-standard base-pairing at the 3rd anti-codon position. The record is from RNAcentral.
GCUUCGAUAGCUCAGUUGGUAGAGCAUUCGGCUGUUAACCGAAAGGUCGGGAGAUCGAAACUCCCUUGGAGCG